This 253-nucleotide ribosomal RNA is filed under the name uncultured bacterium. RNAcentral describes it as "partial 16S ribosomal RNA". It matches the Rfam family "Bacterial small subunit ribosomal RNA", at positions 524 to 776 of the family's 1533-position model. The record is from RNAcentral.
UACGUAGGUGGCAAGCGUUGUCCGGAUUUAUUGGGCGUAAAGCGCCCUCAGGCGGCUUGAUAAGUUUCAGGUGAAAUCUCCCGGCUCAACCGGGAGGGUGCCUGGAAAACUAUCAGGCUUGAGUCAUGGAGAGGGAUGUGGAAUUCCCGGUGUAGUGGUGAAAUGCGUAGAUAUCGGGAGGAACACCAGUGGCGAAGGCGGCAUCCUGGCCAUGUAUUGACGCUCAGGGGCGAAAGCGUGGGGAGCAAACCGG